This is a non-coding RNA of Pelobates cultripes (western spadefoot toad), 380 nucleotides long. The record is from the annotation of a GenBank genome assembly. NCBI's taxonomy places the organism in Eukaryota, Metazoa, Chordata, Amphibia, Anura, Pelobatidae.
GGGGGCUAUCUGCUCCUGGAACUAGACAUAUAUGGUCUUAAGUGUCGUUUUGAGCAUUAAGCAUUGCAUGAUUCCAAGUUAGCCAAUUUUAAUAUAGCAGAGCUACAUAAGCCAUCUACAAGCAUGGAAAACAAGGUGCAUUCCUUCACACAAGCAAGCUCCUCCAGGAGCUCGUGGCAAACUCACAUGGGAAGGGGAGUUUGUCACACUGACCCUUCCUGCUCAUUUCUGUUCCUUUCAGCUCAUUGCUGUCCCCUUUUACUCCUUGAUGUCCCUUCCUGCUCAUUUCUGUUCCUUCUCCUUUCUGCUCCUUUACCUUUGUGCUCCUUCUGUUCCUUCCUGCCCUUUCCAGCUCCUUGCUGCCCUUUCCAGCUCCUUGC